CCCUUAGAUGUUCUGGGCCGCACACGCGCUACAUUGAAGGAGGCAGCGUGUACUCCUGGAUCGAAAGAUUUGGGUAACCCGCGAAUCUCCUUCGUGCUAGGGAUUGAGGUUUGCAAUUAUCCUUCAUGAACGAGGAAUUCCCAGUAAGUGCAAGUCAUAAGCUUGCGCUGACUACGUCCCUGCCCUUUGUACACACCGCCCGUCGCUACUACCGAUUGAAUGAUUUAGUGAGGACUUCGGACUGGGACCGAUGCGGCUUUCGGGCUGCGUCGGUAUUCUGGAAAGAUGUCCAAACUGUAUCAUUUAGAGGAAGUAAAAGUCGUAACA
Molecule: ribosomal RNA, 327 nt
Filed under: uncultured eukaryote
Lineage: Eukaryota
Description: partial 18S ribosomal RNA
Rfam family: Eukaryotic small subunit ribosomal RNA
Source: RNAcentral